AAUAGAUACCCGGGUAGUCCACGCCGUAAACGAUGAGUGCUAAGUGUUGGAGGGUUUCCGCCCUUCAGUGCUGCAGCUAACGCAUUAAGCACUCCGCCUGGGGAGUACGGUCGCAAGACUGAAACUCAAAGGAAUUGACGGGGGCCCGCACAAGCGGUGGAGCAUGUGGUUUAAUUCGAAGCAACGCGAAGAACCUUACCAGGUCUUGACAUCUCCUGACCGCCCUGGAGACAGGGUCUUCCCUUCGGGGGACAGGAUGACAGGUGGUGCAUGGUUGUCGUCAGCUCGUGUCGUGAGAUGUUGGGUUAAGUCCCGCAACGAGCGCAACCCUUGGUUCUAGUUGCCAGCAUUGAGUUGGGCACUCUAGAGCGACUGCCGGCGACAAGUCGGAGGAAGGUGGGGAUGACGUCAAAUCAUCAUGCCCCUUAUGACCUGGGCUACACACGUGCUACAAUGGAUGGUACAAAGGGCAGCAAAGCGGCGACGCAUGAGCGAAUCCCAGAAAACCAUUACUCAGUUCGG
This 522-nucleotide ribosomal RNA is filed under the name uncultured bacterium. RNAcentral's name for it is "bacterial SSU rRNA". It matches the Rfam family "Bacterial small subunit ribosomal RNA", at positions 777 to 1296 of the family's 1533-position model. The record is from RNAcentral.